This 241-nucleotide long non-coding RNA is filed under the name Brassica rapa (field mustard). Its description in RNAcentral is "long non-coding RNA (BRAP_LNC006559)". Lineage: Eukaryota; Viridiplantae; Streptophyta; Magnoliopsida; Brassicales; Brassicaceae. The record is from RNAcentral.
GGGGAUUUAGGAGCCCCAAAAAGAAUGAGAAGAGGUCCAAAGGCCUGCCCUCUUUGGAAGCAAGCACAUAUAUAGAGGAUCUGAGAACAGUUUUUUUUUUUUUUUUUGGUAAAAAUGUUAAGAUAUUAUUACCAAUUUUCUUGUUUUUGACAGAAGUACAAUGGAAACGAGAAGCGGAACAAAUAAAAUAAAUCUAAACAGCUACUCGAUGAAGCCUAGCAGAGACAGACGAACAAACCGG